CGAGCCUGGCCGCUCCACACACCCUCACACUUUCACCGUUUAAGAGGAUUGCUCAAGAGAGAUCUUCUGCCCAGAGAAAGCAAGGUACUUUAGCCAUUGUCACACCCACGUGGGACAUGAUGAGAAUUCUUGAGCAAGCGGUAUCAUCAGCAUAUUGGAAAGAAGACAUGAAGUGGACAGCUACCACAAGGGGGAACUUGAAAGAGGACACAGCUAUUCAAGAGCACUUGCCUGCCCACUGGGAUUCUUGUUCUCAAAGCAGCUGUUACUUUUCCUGCGAAACAUUUACUCUCAGCUUAAUGACUGAUCUCUGUGAUUUUUCUGGAUGUAUCUCCUUACUAGCAUAGGGAACUUAAAGGUGUCCUCAGGGGCUUUGAUUUUAGUUAAUUCCAGAUGUAAUCAAGAUGACAACCAAGAUUAGCCAGCACAGGAC
Molecule: long non-coding RNA, 433 nt
Organism: Peromyscus maniculatus bairdii (prairie deer mouse)
Lineage: Eukaryota; Metazoa; Chordata; Mammalia; Rodentia; Cricetidae
Source: RefSeq, a predicted model, not a curated record